Long non-coding RNA from Oncorhynchus keta (chum salmon), 417 nucleotides. RefSeq lists it as uncharacterized. NCBI's taxonomy places the organism in Eukaryota, Metazoa, Chordata, Actinopteri, Salmoniformes, Salmonidae. The record is from RefSeq and is a predicted model, not a curated record. The transcript is spliced from 3 exons.
GAUCAGAGAAACACUGAACCAUCUGAAAGGUCGGAACACGUUGAGAUCAGAGAAACACUGAACCAUCUGAAAGGUCGGAACACGUUGAGAUCAGAGAAACACUGAACCAUCUGAAAGGUCGGAACACGUUGAGAUCAGAGAAACACUGAACCAUCUGAAAGGUCGGAACACGUUGAGAUCAGAGAAACACUGAACCAUCUGAAAGGUCGGAACACGUUGAGAUCAGAGAAACACUGAACCAUCUGAAAGGUCGGAACACGUUGAGAUCAGAGAAACACUGAACCAUCUGAAAGGUCGGAACACGUUGAGAUCAGAGAAACACUGAACCAUCUGAAAGGUCGGAACACGUUGAGAUCAGAGAAACACUGAACCAUCUGAAAGGUCGGAACACGUUGAGAUCAGAGAAACACUGAACCA